GACGAACGCUGGCGGCGUGCUUAAAACAUGCAAGUCGAACGGAAAGGCCCUGCUUGCAGGGUGCUCGAGUGGCGAACGGGUGAGUAACACGUGGGUGAUCUGCCCCUUACUUUGGGAUAAGCCUGGGAAACUGGGUCUAAUACUGGAUAGGACCAUGCUGUAGGUGGUGUGGUGGAAAGAUUAGUUUCGGUAAGGGAUGAGCUCGCGGCCUAUCAGCUUGUUGGUGGGGUAAUGGCCUACCAAGGCGUCGACGGGUAGCCGGCCUGAGAGGGUGGACGGCCACAUUGGGACUGAGAUACGGCCCAGACUCCUACGGGAGGCAGCAGUGGGGAAUAUUGCACAAUGGGCGCAAGCCUGAUGCAGCGACGCCGCGUGGGGGAUGACGGCCUUCGGGUUGUAAACUCCUUUCAGCCAUGACGAAGCCCUUGUGGUGACGGUAGUGGUAGAAGAAGCACCGGCUAACUACGUG
This 469-nucleotide ribosomal RNA is filed under the name uncultured bacterium. RNAcentral's name for it is "partial 16S ribosomal RNA". It matches the Rfam family "Bacterial small subunit ribosomal RNA", at positions 28 to 507 of the family's 1533-position model. The record is from RNAcentral.